RNAcentral lists this ribosomal RNA (254 nucleotides) under uncultured bacterium. Its description in RNAcentral is "partial 16S ribosomal RNA". It matches the Rfam family "Bacterial small subunit ribosomal RNA", at positions 524 to 776 of the family's 1533-position model. The record is from RNAcentral.
UACGGAGGGUGCAAGCGUUGUUAGGAUUUACUGGGCGUAAAGGGCGCGUAGGCGGCCACCGCAAGUCAAUUGUGAAAUCUCCGGGCUUAACUCGGAAAGGUCAACUGAUACUGCGGGGCUAGAGUGCGGAAGGGGCAACUGGAAUUCUCGGUGUAGCGGUGAAAUGCGCAGAUAUCAGGAAGAACACCGGUGGCGAAGGCGGGUCUCUGGGCAACAACUGACGCUGAGGAGCGAAAGCGUGGGGAGCGAACAGG